RNAcentral lists this ribosomal RNA (455 nucleotides) under uncultured bacterium. RNAcentral describes it as "bacterial SSU rRNA". It matches the Rfam family "Bacterial small subunit ribosomal RNA", at positions 43 to 524 of the family's 1533-position model. The record is from RNAcentral.
CAGGCCUAACACAUGCAAGUCGAACGGUGCAGCAAUGCACAGUGGCAGACGGGUGAGUAACGCGUAGAUAACGUGCCCUCUUGCGGGGGAUACCAGUUCGAAAGGACUGUUAAUACCGCAUAAUGUCUCCUGGUGGCAUCUUCGGGAGAACAAACUGAUUCAGGGCGAGAGGAGCGGUCUGCGUACUAUCAGGUAGUUGGUGAGGUAACGGCUCACCAAGCCUACGACGGUUAACUGGUCUGAGAGGAUGAUCAGUCACACUGGAACUGAGACACGGUCCAGACUCCUACGGGAGGCAGCAGUGAGGAAUAUUGCGCAAUGGGCGAAAGCCUGACGCAGCGACGCCGCGUGGAGGAUGAAGGCCCUCGGGUUGUAAACUCCUGUCAGUUGGGAAGAGAAUGGACGGUACCAACUGAGGAAGCUUCGGCUAACUACGUGCCAGCAGCCGCGGUAAU